Molecule: ribosomal RNA, 502 nt
Filed under: uncultured bacterium
Lineage: Bacteria
Description: bacterial SSU rRNA
Rfam family: Bacterial small subunit ribosomal RNA
Source: RNAcentral
GAUGAACGCUAGCGGCAGGCCUCAUACAUGCAAGUCGAGGGGCAGCAUAGUACUUCGGUACUGAUGGCGACCGGCGAACGGGUGCGUAACGCGUAUGCAAUCUGCCUUGUACUGGGGGAUAGCUUCUGGAAACGGAAAUUAAUACCCCAUGUGAUAGUUGAUCGCAUGAUUAACAUAUCAAAGCUCCGGCGGUACAAGAUGAGCAUGCGUCCCAUUAGUUUGUUGGUAGGGUAACGGCCUACCAAGGCUACAAUGGGUAGGGGGUCUGAGAGGAUGAUCCCCCACACUGGCACUGAGACACGGGCCAGACUCCUACGGGAGGCAGCAGUAGGGAAUAUUGGUCAAUGGGCGCAAGCCUGAACCAGCCAUGCCGCGUGCAGGAUUGAAGGUCCUUAGGAUUGUAAACUGCUUUUUUAUGGGAGCAACAUCUUUCUGCGGAAAGGUAUGAGAGUACCAUAAGAAUAAGCACCGGCUAACUCCGUGCCAGCCGCCGCAGUAACAC